CGGUGGAGCAUGUGGUUAAUUCGUAAGCAACGCGAAGAACUACCAGGCCUUGACAUGCAGAGAACUUUCCAGAGAUGGAUUGGUGGCCUUCGGGAACUCUGACACAGGUGCUGCAUGGCUGUCGUCAGCUCGUGUCGUGAGAUGUUGGGUUAAGUCCCGUAACGAGCGCAACCCUUGUCCUUAGUUACCAGCACGUUAUGGUGGGCACUCUAAGGAGACUGCCGGUGACAAACCGGAGGAAGGUGGGGGAUGACGUCAAGUCAUCAUGGCCCUUACGGCCUGGGCUACACACGUGCUACAAUGGUCGGUACAAAGGGUUGCCAAGCCGCGAGGUGGAGCUAAUCCCAUAAAACCGAUCGUAGUCCGGAUCGCAGUCUGCAACUCGACUGCGUGAAGUCGGAAUCGCUAGUAAUCGUGAAUCAGAAUGUCACGGUGAAUACGUUCCCGGGCCUU
This 453-nucleotide ribosomal RNA is filed under the name uncultured Pseudomonas sp. RNAcentral's name for it is "bacterial SSU rRNA". It matches the Rfam family "Bacterial small subunit ribosomal RNA", at positions 930 to 1382 of the family's 1533-position model. Lineage: Bacteria; Pseudomonadati; Pseudomonadota; Gammaproteobacteria; Pseudomonadales; Pseudomonadaceae. The record is from RNAcentral.